Olea europaea var. sylvestris is the source of this 524-nucleotide long non-coding RNA. RefSeq lists it as uncharacterized. Lineage: Eukaryota; Viridiplantae; Streptophyta; Magnoliopsida; Lamiales; Oleaceae. The record is from RefSeq and is a predicted model, not a curated record. The transcript has 2 exons.
AAAAAAUCCCAAAGAGGCCCUAAAUUGCAAAAAAAAUAGAGAGGUGGGCAUCCCACACUUCGCGAGGACAAAAAUAGAAAAUUCGUCGCAGCAAAAUCUGAAAGACUCAUAAAUGUGGAGAGACAAGAGUCCUGGCGUCAAGAUCCUCUGGCUUUGGACCUUCGGAACUGCAGCUGUUUUGGUGGCCAAUGUUAUGAGAACCAGAAUACGAGACAUGGAGCAACUCAUUAACGCCCAAGAUCAAGCCUCCCAUACUACAGACUCACUUUCCGACGAGAAAAACUCAUGGGAUUCUGCUGAAGUGAUUGAAGAGAAAUCAUAGUGUGUUCUUGCUAUCCUCAGUUGCUGCUUGUAAGAUUUUGAAUAUGGUAUAAGGUGUUUGAUAAGUUGCCUGAAUGGGUUUUUGAAUAUGGUUUAAAGGUGUUUUAUCAGUUGCCUGAAUGAGUUUUUGAUUCUGGUAUAAGGUGUUUGUUGAAUUGCCUGACAUGGUGUGUUUGGCUGCAAUGCAUGAUGCAUUUCAAUUU